This 932-nucleotide ribosomal RNA is filed under the name Salmonella enterica subsp. enterica serovar Typhimurium. RNAcentral describes it as "bacterial LSU rRNA". It matches the Rfam family "Bacterial large subunit ribosomal RNA", at positions 1 to 963 of the family's 2925-position model. Lineage: Bacteria; Pseudomonadati; Pseudomonadota; Gammaproteobacteria; Enterobacterales; Enterobacteriaceae. The record is from RNAcentral.
GGGUUGUGAGGUUAAGCGACUAAGCGUACACGGUGGAUGCCCUGGCAGUCAGAGGCGAUGAAGGGCGUGCUAAUCUGCGAUAAGCGCCGGUAAGGUGAUAUGAACCGUUAUAACCGGCGAUACCCGAAUGGGGAAACCCAGUGUGAUUCGUCACACUAUCAUUAACUGAAUCCAUAGGUUAAUGAGGCGAACCGGGGGAACUGAAACAUCUAAGUACCCCGAGGAAAAGAAAUCAACCGAGAUUCCCCCAGUAGCGGCGAGCGAACGGGGAGGAGCCCAGAGCCUGAAUCAGCAUGUGUGUUAGUGGAAGCGUCUGGAAAGGUGCGCGAUACAGGGUGACAGCCCCGUACACAAAAGCGCAUGUGCUGUGAGCUCGAUGAGUAGGGCGGGACACGUGGUAUCCUGUCUGAAUAUGGGGGGACCAUCCUCCAAGGCUAAAUACUCCUGACUGACCGAUAGUGAACCAGUACCGUGAGGGAAAGGCGAAAAGAACCCCGGCGAGGGGAGUGAAAAAGAACCUGAAACCGUGUACGUACAAGCAGUGGGAGCACAGGUUUACCUGUGUGACUGCGUACCUUUUGUAUAAUGGGUCAGCGACUUAUAUUCUGUAGCAAGGUUAACCGUAUAGGGGAGCCGGAGGGAAACCGAGUCUUAACCGGGCGUUAAGUUGCAGGGUAUAGACCCGAAACCCGGUGAUCUAGCCAUGGGCAGGUUGAAGGUUGGGUAACACUAACUGGAGGACCGAACCGACUAAUGUUGAAAAAUUAGCGGAUGAUCUGUGGCUGGGGGUGAAAGGCCAAUCAAACCGGGAGAUAGCUGGUUCUCCCCGAAAGCUAUUUAGGUAGCGCCUCGUGAAUUCAUCUCCGGGGGUAGAGCACUGUUUCGGCUAGGGGGCCAUCCCGGCUUACCAACCCGAUGCAAACUGCGAAUAC